GACGAACGCUGGCGGCGCGCUUAACACAUGCAAGUCGAACGGAAAGGCCUGCUUUCCCUUGUGGAUUGCGGGUACUCGAGUGGCGAACGGGUGAGUAACACGUGAGUGAUCUGCCCCCAACUUGGGUAUAAGCCUGGGAAACUGGGUCUAAUUCCCGAUAGGACUGCAGGGUGGUGCCUGUGGUGGAAAACGAUUUUCUAGUGGUUGGGGAUGAGCUCGCGGCCUAUCAGCUUGUUGGUGGGGUAAUGGCCUACCAAGGCGGCGACGGGUAGCCGGCCUGAGAGGGUGGACGGCCACAUUGGGACUGGGAUACGGCCCAGACUCCUACGGGAGGCAGCAGUGGGGAAUAUUGCACAAUGGGCGGAAGCCUGAUGCAGCGACGCCGCGUGGGGGAUGACGGCCUUCGGGUUGUAAACUCCUUUCGACCGCGAGGAAGCCACCUGGUUGGAAGGGUGGUGACGGUAGUGGUAGAAGAAGCACCGGCUAACUACGU
Molecule: ribosomal RNA, 493 nt
Filed under: uncultured bacterium
Lineage: Bacteria
Description: partial 16S ribosomal RNA
Rfam family: Bacterial small subunit ribosomal RNA
Source: RNAcentral